UGAAAUUUUGGGUGUUUUUUGACUUUUAGAUGGGUAUUAAAGAUAUUUGGUUAAGUUUAUAGGGCUAUUAAGAGGUUUUGAAGAGUUUAUGGCAUAAGGGACUGAGAAGGGUCUUAAAGAUUUUUGCGAAAGUAAUUUUUUGUACCUUUUGUAUCAGGGUGUACUAAAAUUAUUAAUUGAUUUUAAUCUCCCGAAGAAGAAUGAGCUAUACGCUCAAUUCUCUAUUGUGGCAAAAAUGGGGUUAAUGAGCGUAUAGGGGUGAGAUGUCUUUCGGAUUCUGUGGUAUCUGGUUCUAACAGAAAUUAUUGAGGAAAGCAUUAGGAGGUUAAUCUCCUAGUAUAAAGGUUAGUAGGGAUAAGCUUAUUAACCUAUCUCUAUAUAUGAUACUUGUUUUCUAUAGGUGAGGCUUGAUAGUGGCUUUUUGUUUUAUAACAAAAAUUUUAUUUUGGUAUUAGUUAGGUAUGUUAGGGUGACAGCAGAUUUUUAUUGUUAGUAAUAAUGGUAGGAUUAGUAGAAUAUGUAUUAUUUAUUGAACUGAGUUAAAUAAGGUAGGGUAAAUUGGUAAGAGAUGCCAGUAAGGAAUUCGGCAAAUAUUUUUCUUAACUGUUUAUCAAAAACAUUUCUUUAAGCAGAGUAAUUAAAGUAAAUUCUGCCCCCUGAUUGAUGUUUUAAAGGGCCGCAGUAGCCUGACUGUGCUAAGGUAGCAUAAUCAUUAGGUUUUUAAUUGGGAUCUGGUAUGAAUGGAUAAAUAGGGAGAAUCUGUCUUUUGGCAAGUUUUGAAGUUAAAUUUUUAGUAAGAAUGCUAGGAUGCUUCUAUGGGACGAUAAGACCCUAUAAAGCUUUAUUAAUUUUUUUAUAAAAAUUUUGACUAAUUUUAUAUGGAAUUUAAUUUGACUGGGGCGGUAGCUACUAAACUUAGUUUAGCUUAGAGUUAUGGGGAUCCAUUAUUAAUGAAACAAGAUUUAGUUACUUUAGGGAUAACAGCAUAAUAUACCCAUGGAGUUCUAAUCGAAGGGUAUGAUUGUGACCUCGAUGUUGAAUUAAUUUUAUUAUAGGGUGUAGAAGCUCUAUGAGUUAGUCUGUUCGACUAUUGAAUAAUUACAUGAUUUGAGUUCAAACCGGUUUAAGCCAGGUUGG
This 1137-nucleotide ribosomal RNA is filed under the name Nelima paessleri. Its description in RNAcentral is "partial 16S ribosomal RNA". The stretch from base 550 to 1137 matches the Rfam family "Archaeal large subunit ribosomal RNA", at positions 1423 to 2703 of the family's 2987-position model. Lineage: Eukaryota; Metazoa; Arthropoda; Arachnida; Opiliones; Sclerosomatidae. The record is from RNAcentral.